AUGCGCGCGCUGUCUCUACGUUCUUUCUCAUGGAUGGAUUCUGCUGGCUAUAUAGGUGCGUCACUCCCUUGCUAUGCGCUCGUUAAAUAUACGUCCUUGAGGGAUUUUCCUACCGAUCGGCUCGAUCUUGCUUCUACUACUCGAUCCAUUGAUACGAUGGUGAAGACGAGGACUGGUGGCGUCGGGCCGUGCGCGCUUCUCGCUCUGGUCCUCCUCCUCGCCGGCAGCUGCGUCAGCGUGCAAGCGGCGGACGAGCAGGCGACGAGCGGCGGUGGCAGAAGGAGAAGGCCGCAUCGACGUUCCGCGGCGUCGGUCGCGGACAUGAUGGUGCCUAUCACCUUCCUCAACGCCUCCGUCGACAAGGGCGCCGUGUGCAUGGAUGGGACGCCGGCCGCUUACCACCUGGACCGGGGCUCCGGGGCAGGGAGCAAGAGCUGGAUCGUCAACCUCGAGGGAGGCGGGUGGUGCAACAACGCGAGGACGUGCAGGUUCCGGACAAGGACCCACCAUGGCUCGUCCAACUUCAUGGAGCGGCAGAUCAGCUUCACCGGCAUCAUGAGCGCCAGCCCCGCCGAGAAUCCUGAUUUCUACAACUGGAACCGGGUGAAGAUCCGCUACUGCGACAGCGCCUCCUUUGCCGGCGACACCUUCGACAAGGCUACUGGGCUCUACUUCCGGGGGCAGAGGAUUUGGGAGGAAGCCAUCCAGCACCUCCUCUCCAUCGGGAUGGCGUCGGCCGACCGGGCGCUUCUCACGGGCUGCUCCGCCGGGGGGCUGGCGGCGAUACUGCACUGCGACCAGUUCGGCGCCUUCUUCGCCGGCCGAGGCACCACCGUCAAGUGCCUCGCCGACGCAGGCCUCUUCCUCGACGCCGUGGAUGUCUCCGGGGGCCGUAGCUUGAGAUCCUACUACGGCGACAUUGUGGCCAUGCAGGGAGUGGCUCCGCACCUUCCGCCCACCUGCACCGAUCACCUCGACGCCACCUCGUGCUUCUUCCCUCAGGAUAUCAUCGACAGCAUCAAGACGCCCAUCUUCUUGCUCAACGCAGCCUACGACGUCUGGCAGAUUGAGGAAAGCCUGGCCCCAAGCAAAGCUGACCCCAGCCGCGCCUGGCGAGCCUGCAAGUUCAACCGCUCGGCUUGCAAUGCGUCUCAGAUAAACUUCCUGCAAGGUUUCAGAGAUCAGAUGGUAGCAUCCGUGAGAGGCUUCUCCAGUUCCAAGAGCAACGGGCUCUUCAUAAACUCGUGUUUCGCCCACUGCCAGUCCGAACUGCCGGCCACCUGGAAUGGCACCCCUGCCAUUCAGAACAAGAGGAUCGCAAAAUCUGUCGGCGAUUGGUACUUUGGCCGGGCCGAAGUGAAGGCGAUCGAUUGCCCAUACCCCUGCGACAACACAUGCCGCAACAUCAUAUAA
RNAcentral lists this ribosomal RNA (1413 nucleotides) under Triticum aestivum (bread wheat). Its description in RNAcentral is "partial small subunit ribosomal RNA". Lineage: Eukaryota; Viridiplantae; Streptophyta; Magnoliopsida; Poales; Poaceae. The record is from RNAcentral.